RNAcentral lists this ribosomal RNA (1173 nucleotides) under Triticum aestivum (bread wheat). Its description in RNAcentral is "partial small subunit ribosomal RNA". Lineage: Eukaryota; Viridiplantae; Streptophyta; Magnoliopsida; Poales; Poaceae. The record is from RNAcentral.
AUGCCGCCGGCGCCGGCGCUGCCGGAUGAGCUUCUCGAGGAGAUCUUCCUCCGCUUCCCGCCGGACGAGCCCGAGCACCUCGUGCGCGCCUCCCUCGCCUGCAAGCUCUGGCUCGGCCUCCUCUCCAGCGCCCGCUUCCGCGGCCUCUACCGCGACUUCCAUGGAGCUCCCCCCAUGCUGGGAUUCCUUUACAACUGGAUCUUUAGCCGCGGCUCCAAGGAGGAUGACCCCGUGGCAAACUUCGUCCCCACCGCGAAAUUCGGCGCACUCAUCUCCGCCGCCGAUGGCUGGGACCGUGGGUACGCUCCGUGGGACUGCCGCCAUGGCCGCGUCCUCCUUGGGAACUACACGGGGCUCGUCGUUUGGGACCCCAUGACAGGCCGCCGGAUGAAGCUGGAAGCGCCCGUUGGCUAUGUUGGCGCGGCGGUGCUCUGCGCUGUGAGGGGCUGUGACCACCGUGCAUGCCAUGAGGGCCCCUUCCAGGUGGUCUUCAUCGGCCUGGACACGAACGAUGAUGAUGGUGAUUGUGUUGCACAUGCGUAUGUGUCCUCGCCCAUGCCGGCCGAGUGGAGUGACUUGGGCUCUGAUUCUCUUUUUGAUGGAUGGAGCAAGCCGUGCUCUGGUCUUCAUCUUAUUACGGCCGAUCCAUUCAUCGAUUCACUGCCCCCUGUCCACGUCGAAAACGCACUUCACUUCAUGCUUAGGUAUGAUGAUAAGCGUGUAGGGAUUCUUAAGUAUGACUUGAGCUCUAAUUGCUUAUCACUGAUUGAUGCGCCGCUUACCGGGUCGGCCAUUGUUGGUCCUGCUAUCCUCAUGGCAAUGGAGGAUGGCAGCUUGGGGUUGGCACACUUGGACGGGUUAAUCCUCUACUUAUGGUCAAGACAGAUGGGUUCCGACGGAGUUGCGUCAUGGACUCGGCGUGAAGUCAUCGAUCUCAAGGAACUUCUCCCCAUUCAAAAUCCCAGGAAAAGAAUUAGUGUUAUUGGAUCUGUGGAGGGCCAUGAUAUCAUUUUCGUGACCGUGGAUCUUGGCAUCUACGAGAUUAAUUUGAAGACGCUACGGUGGAAGAAGAUAUGGAAGAGAGAGAAAUUUCGCUCUUUGAUUCCGUACAUGAGCUUCUACAAUCGACAAGAAAAGGUGAGGCCCUGCAACACAUUGACAACAUAUGGUUGA